GAUGAACGCUGGCGGCGUGCCUAAUACAUGCAAGUCGAGCGAACGGACGAGAAGCUUGCUUCUCUGAUGUUAGCGGCGGACGGGUGAGUAACACGUGGAUAACCUACCUAUAAGACUGGGAUAACUUCGGGAAACCGGAGCUAAUACCGGAUAAUAUUUUGAACCGCAUGGUUCAAAAGUGAAAGACGGUCUUGCUGUCACUUAUAGAUGGAUCCGCGCUGCAUUAGCUAGUUGGUAAGGUAACGGCUUACCAAGGCAACGAUGCAUAGCCGACCUGAGAGGGUGAUCGGCCACACUGGAACGGAGACACGGUCCAGGCUCCUACGGGAGGCAGCAGUCUGGAAUCUUCCGCAAUGGGCGAAAGCCUGACGGAGCAACGCCGCGUGAGUGAUGAAGGUCUUCGGAUCGUAAAACUCUGUUAUUAGGGAAGAACAUAUGUGUAAGUAACUGUGCACAUCUUGACGGUACCUAAUAAGAAAGCCACGGCUAACUACGUG
RNAcentral lists this ribosomal RNA (497 nucleotides) under uncultured bacterium. Its description in RNAcentral is "partial 16S ribosomal RNA". It matches the Rfam family "Bacterial small subunit ribosomal RNA", at positions 28 to 507 of the family's 1533-position model. The record is from RNAcentral.